This 586-nucleotide ribosomal RNA is filed under the name Bipolaris sorokiniana. RNAcentral describes it as "eukaryotic LSU rRNA". The stretch from base 202 to 355 matches the Rfam family "5.8S ribosomal RNA". The record is from RNAcentral. Lineage: Eukaryota; Fungi; Ascomycota; Dothideomycetes; Pleosporales; Pleosporaceae.
UCCGUAGGUGAACCUGCGGAGGGAUCAUUACACAACAAAAUAUGAAGGCCUGGCUUCGCGGCCGGCUGAAAUAUUUUUUUCACCCAUGUCUUUUGCGCACUUGUUGUUUCCUGGGCGGGUUCGCCCGCCACCAGGACCAAACCAUAAACCUUUUUUUUAUGCAGUUGCAAUCAGCGUCAGUAAAAACAAUGUAAUUAUUACAACUUUCAACAACGGAUCUCUUGGUUCUGGCAUCGAUGAAGAACGCAGCGAAAUGCGAUACGUAGUGUGAAUUGCAGAAUUCAGUGAAUCAUCGAAUCUUUGAACGCACAUUGCGCCCUUUGGUAUUCCAAAGGGCAUGCCUGUUCGAGCGUCAUUUGUACCUUCAAGCUUUGCUUGGUGUUGGGCGUUUUUUGUCUCCCUCUUUCUGGGAGACUCGCCUUAAAACGAUUGGCAGCCGGCCUACUGGUUUCGGAGCGCGGCACAUAUUUUGCGCUUUGUAUCAGGAGAAAAGGACGGUAAUCCAUCAAGACUCUACAUUUUUAACUUUUGACCUCGGAUCAGGUAGGGAUACCCGCUGAACUUAAGCAUAUCAAUAAGCGGAGGA